RNAcentral lists this ribosomal RNA (497 nucleotides) under uncultured bacterium. RNAcentral's name for it is "partial 16S ribosomal RNA". It matches the Rfam family "Bacterial small subunit ribosomal RNA", at positions 28 to 507 of the family's 1533-position model. The record is from RNAcentral.
GAUGAACGCUGGCGGCGUGCCUAAUACAUGCAAGUCGAGCGAACAGAUGAGGAGCUUGCUCCUCUGACGUUAGCGGCGGACGGGUGAGUAACACGUGGAUAACCUACCUAUAAGACUGGGAUAACUUCGGGAAACCGGAGCUAAUACCGGAUAAUAUAUUGAACCGCAUGGUUCAAUAGUGAAAGACGGUUUUGCUGUCACUUAUAGAUGGAUCCGCGCCGCAUUAGCUAGUUGGUAAGGUAACGGCUUACCAAGGCAACGAUGCGUAGCCGACCUGAGAGGGUGAUCGGCCACACUGGAACUGAAACACGGUCCAGACUCCUACGGGAGGCAGCAGUAGGGAAUCUUCCGCAAUGGGCGAAAGCCUGACGCAGCAACGCCGCGUGAGUGAUGAAGGUCUUCGGAUCGUAAAACUCUGUUAUUAGGGAAGAACAAAUGUGUAAGUAACUAUGCACGUCUUGACGGUACCUAAUCAGAAAGCCACGGCUAACUACGUG